CAAAGAGAAAGUGUUGGAAUUCAAGGAUUUGAUCAAGCAAAGGUGGUGAGCCAUUGGAUAUGGGUAAAGGAUAGUACCCGCGGACUGAAAAUAGGAGUAUUUCUACUCCUAAUACUGCUCAGGGAAUUCCAUAGUUAGCUGACUUUGACAAGGAC
Non-coding RNA from Theobroma cacao (cacao), 155 nucleotides. The record is from RefSeq and is a predicted model, not a curated record. NCBI's taxonomy places the organism in Eukaryota, Viridiplantae, Streptophyta, Magnoliopsida, Malvales, Malvaceae.